UCAGGCUUUUCUGCCCGUCCGCCAUCAGGAUAGAUGAUGGAUCCUUGUCCUGAAUGCAUGCCUGAUGGCGGGCACCUGGAAUAGGGUGUGGGCAUAGGUAGAUGGGAUUCAGCUGAGUUAAGACUGCUUUUAAGGGCGGCGUCACGGGGACGCCAGCAGCAGCAGCCAGUAGAAGCCGAAGCCGAAAGAGAAGCCGAGAUCACCAGAGAGCCCAGAUAGAGUGAGGAUUUGCUGGGGGCUGGGAGGUCUGCCAGCCUCCCGGCCCCCCAACACCCCUACCUGCCAUAUGCCUGGAAUGGAAAAUAACUGCCAUCUGUUGAUGGGGCUGGCGGAUGCUAUGGACGCAGCGGUGCUCAGCUCUGGGCUCUUUCGGAAUCAGAGCGUUUGCUGGAUUUGGUGCUUGAAGAAAGAAAAUACCAAAUCAAGAAAUGGGAGCGAAUAAAUGACCUGUGCGUGCAAAAAGGAUUUUUUUUCUCCUGAUUUUUAUGAAUUUGGAGAUGGGAACAAUGUUUCUAACAAACCAAGAUUUUUAUUUCUUUCUCUAAGAGAUAUGGCUUUAGUCUUUUCCCCCCUCUACUGCUUUCCUGAAACAAUCUUCUAGGGUCUGAUUUUCUUCCUCCUUAAAAUAGACCAAAAUAGCCCUGUUGGUGACUAGAAUCAUGGAAGUGAAACAGACAAGGACUCGGCUUGCCUCACUCUCGUGGUCUGUCUGCUUCCAGACACAGUGCCUGGGUCUGCAGCUCACUGCCUCCCACCACCCUAAGUUAACUGACAUGAGGGGAAUGCAAGGAGAGCCUUGGACUCUUUUUUUAUACUCUCUUCUCUUCUAAAGAAUUCACAAAUUAGCAAGUAUUCAUCCAGUGUUAUCUAGAUGCUAUUGCCAAACAUAACAGACUAUACACAAAUCAACAAGGCCUCACUCACAAUGCAGUCCCAGCAGAAAGCCAUGCAGCAAAAGCAAUCCCCAAUCCUGGGUUGCCUGCCACACAAUUCUUGUUCCACGAUACAUGUUCAGUCAGGUCUAAGAUGCUGCCACCUUUUCUUGUGUCCAGCACUAGGAUUGCAACCACAGUCCUCUCCACCCAGAAUGUAUUACUUGGCUCUAAGAAAUACAAGAGGAAGUGCCCUCCCCAAAGAGAAAUCUAAACACAGAGUGAAACCACGACUUGUUUUCAACAGGCCUCCUGUUGUGAGCCCUCUCAAUUGUGCUGCCUUUCUGUAAGUGAGCAGGGGACUGGUGGUUUGAAGUGGCCUCUGCCUUUUCCUGAGGAUGUCUCUGACCAGGGUCUUGAGAUCUUUAGUCAUGACUUGGAGACUUACUAACAUAGCUAUUCAAACCAGAUCACGCUUUGUUAGGUAAGAAAAUGUGAUGUUCUAACACAUGGCUUGUUUGCAAACUGAGCCGUCAAUAAAUAGCGUUGUAAUAUAAUAACAAUAUAAUACUCCAAACUAGGGCAUCUUUUAUACUUCAUUUAUUUAAUAAUCAUUUACUAAGUACCUACUAUGUGCCAGAUUUUGUGCUGGGUGCAACAGUUACUAGGUAGGGAACAAAUUGCACUGUCCUCAGUGGGCUAUCCUUUUAAAUCUCUUCCUGAUCUUCCUCCAUCAAAUUUCAAGUUUAAUAAGAAGCUCCUAGUAUGUAUGGGGUAUAGCAGGGGAUGCACAGAGAGAAUGGUAGCUUCCACCUGGGCAGAAGAACAGCUGCUGCGCUUAUAGCUCCGUUUUGUAAAUUAGAUCCUCAUCCUCAGCUCAUGUAGUUCUCAUGCCAGAGUCUGGGGUUUGGCAACAGAGUGUGACCCGCUUUCCCUAGACUCACCUCUUUAGAAGUUCCUGAUCAGGAUGGUUUUCUUUCAUUCUUUUUUUUUUUUUAAA
This is a long non-coding RNA of Talpa occidentalis (Iberian mole), 1872 nucleotides long. RefSeq lists it as uncharacterized. The transcript is spliced from 3 exons. Lineage: Eukaryota; Metazoa; Chordata; Mammalia; Eulipotyphla; Talpidae. The record is from RefSeq and is a predicted model, not a curated record.